UGAAGCCUGUGAUGCUCGUCAUCUUUAAUAUGUCCAACCUACAAGAUAUAUAGGGAAUCCAACGCUAUGUAAGUUGUCGCGACACCAUCGAGUGGAUGACAAAAACCAUACUAGGAUGCCCACCUGCGAGGAGCGGGUUUGGACAUAGAAAGAAACGGCAUUCUGGACUUUCC
Molecule: non-coding RNA, 173 nt
Filed under: Negativicutes bacterium
Lineage: Bacteria; Bacillati; Bacillota; Negativicutes
Description: 6S RNA
Rfam family: 6S / SsrS RNA
About the family: E. coli 6S RNA was the first non coding RNA to be sequenced, but its function was unknown until recently. It consists of 184 nucleotides that fold into an extended hairpin structure with a large single-stranded internal bulge.
Source: RNAcentral